AAAUUGAAGAGUUUGAUCAUGGCUCAGAUUGAACGCUGGCGGCAGGCCUAACACAUGCAAGUCGAACGGUAACAGGAAGCAGCUUGCUGCUUUGCUGACGAGUGGCGGACGGGUGAGUAAUGUCUGGGAAACUGCCUGAUGGAGGGGGAUAACUACUGGAAACGGUGGCUAAUACCGCAUAACGUCGCAAGACCAAAGAGGGGGACCUUCGGGCCUCUUGCCAUCAGAUGUGCCCAGAUGGGAUUAGCUUGUUGGUGAGGUAACGGCUCACCAAGGCGACGAUCCCUAGCUGGUCUGAGAGGAUGACCAGCCACACUGGAACUGAGACACGGUCCAGACUCCUACGGGAGGCAGCAGUGGGGAAUAUUGCACAAUGGGCGCAAGCCUGAUGCAGCCAUGCCGCGUGUAUGAAGAAGGCCUUCGGGUUGUAAAGUACUUUCAGCGGGGAGGAAGGUGUUGUGGUUAAUAACCGCAGCAAUUGACGUUACCCGCAGAAGAAGCACCGGCUAACUCCGUGCCAGCAGCCGCGGUAAUACGGAGGGUGCAAGCGUUAAUCGGAAUUACUGGGCGUAAAGCGCACGCAGGCGGUCUGUCAAGUCGGAUGUGAAAUCCCCGGGCUCAACCUGGGAACUGCAUUCGAAACUGGCAGGCUUGAGUCUUGUAGAGGGGGGUAGAAUUCCAGGUGUAGCGGUGAAAUGCGUAGAGAUCUGGAGGAAUACCGGUGGCGAAGGCGGCCCCCUGGACAAAGACUGACGCUCAGGUGCGAAAGCGUGGGGAGCAAACAGGAUUAGAUACCCUGGUAGUCCACGCCGUAAACGAUGUCUACUUGGAGGUUGUGCCCUUGAGGCGUGGCUUCCGGAGCUAACGCGUUAAGUAGACCGCCUGGGGAGUACGGCCGCAAGGUUAAAACUCAAAUGAAUUGACGGGGGCCCGCACAAGCGGUGGAGCAUGUGGUUUAAUUCGAUGCAACGCGAAGAACCUUACCUGGUCUUGACAUCCACAGAACUUUCCAGAGAUGGAUUGGUGCCUUCGGGAACUGUGAGACAGGUGCUGCAUGGCUGUCGUCAGCUCGUGUUGUGAAAUGUUGGGUUAAGUCCCGCAACGAGCGCAACCCUUAUCCUUUGUUGCCAGCGAUUAGGUCGGGAACUCAAAGGAGACUGCCAGUGAUAAACUGGAGGAAGGUGGGGAUGACGUCAAGUCAUCAUGGCCCUUACGACCAGGGCUACACACGUGCUACAAUGGCGCAUACAAAGAGAAGCGACCUCGCGAGAGCAAGCGGACCUCAUAAAGUGCGUCGUAGUCCGGAUUGGAGUCUGCAACUCGACUCCAUGAAGUCGGAAUCGCUAGUAAUCGUGGAUCAGAAUGCCACGGUGAAUACGUUCCCGGGCCUUGUACACACCGCCCGUCACACCAUGGGAGUGGGUUGCAAAAGAAGUAGGUAGCUUAACCUUCGGGAGGGCGCUUACCACUUUGUGAUUCAUGACUGGGGUGAAGUCGUAACAAGGUAACCGUAGGGGAACCUGCGGUUGGAUCACCUCCUUACCUGAAAGAA
Molecule: ribosomal RNA, 1552 nt
Filed under: Salmonella enterica
Lineage: Bacteria; Pseudomonadati; Pseudomonadota; Gammaproteobacteria; Enterobacterales; Enterobacteriaceae
Also listed under: 3 other names
Description: bacterial SSU rRNA
Rfam family: Bacterial small subunit ribosomal RNA
Source: RNAcentral